ACCAUGGGCAUGUCCCGUGAAAUGUAAAGUCCACUGGAAUGUGGCAGCGCUUCGGCGUUCUUUGGGUCAGAGAGGGUGAAAACCCCGUUUACAUUCAUUGUGGGGCGUGUCUGUUGUGUGGGCGUGUUGAAGAGUCGGAUUGUUUGGGAAUGCAAUCCAAAACGGGUGGUAAAUUCCAUCCAAGACUAAAUAUUAGCAAGAGACCGAUAGCGAACAAGUACCGUGAGGGAAAGAUG
RNAcentral lists this ribosomal RNA (236 nucleotides) under Catenaria anguillulae. RNAcentral's name for it is "partial large subunit ribosomal RNA". It matches the Rfam family "Eukaryotic large subunit ribosomal RNA", at positions 161 to 366 of the family's 3401-position model. Lineage: Eukaryota; Fungi; Blastocladiomycota; Blastocladiomycetes; Blastocladiales; Catenariaceae. The record is from RNAcentral.